CACGAAGGGGGCUAGCGUUGCUCGGAAUCACUGGGCGUAAAGCGCACGUAGGCGGCUUUUUAAGUCAGGGGUGAAAUCCUGGAGCUCAACUCCAGAACUGCCUUUGAUACUGAGAAGCUUGAGUCCGGGAGAGGUGAGUGGAACUGCGAGUGUAGAGGUGAAAUUCGUAGAUAUUCGCAAGAACACCAGUGGCGAAGGCGGCUCACUGGCCCGGUACUGACGCUGAGGUGCGGAAGCGUGGGGAGCAAACAGG
Molecule: ribosomal RNA, 253 nt
Filed under: uncultured bacterium
Lineage: Bacteria
Description: partial 16S ribosomal RNA
Rfam family: Bacterial small subunit ribosomal RNA
Source: RNAcentral